Molecule: ribosomal RNA, 823 nt
Filed under: Bacillus cereus
Lineage: Bacteria; Bacillati; Bacillota; Bacilli; Caryophanales; Bacillaceae
Description: bacterial SSU rRNA
Rfam family: Bacterial small subunit ribosomal RNA
Source: RNAcentral
CCUAUACAUGCAGUCGAGCGAAUGGAUUAAGAGCUUGCUCUUAUGAAGUUAGCGGCGGACGGGUGAGUAACACGUGGGUAACCUGCCCAUAAGACUGGGAUAACUCCGGGAAACCGGGGCUAAUACCGGAUAACAUUUUGAACCGCAUGGUUCGAAAUUGAAAGGCGGCUUCGGCUGUCACUUAUGGAUGGACCCGCGUCGCAUUAGCUAGUUGGUGAGGUAACGGCUCACCAAGGCAACGAUGCGUAGCCGACCUGAGAGGGUGAUCGGCCACACUGGGACUGAGACACGGCCCAGACUCCUACGGGAGGCAGCAGUAGGGAAUCUUCCGCAAUGGACGAAAGUCUGACGGAGCAACGCCGCGUGAGUGAUGAAGGCUUUCGGGUCGUAAAACUCUGUUGUUAGGGAAGAACAAGUGCUAGUUGAAUAAGCUGGCACCUUGACGGUACCUAACCAGAAAGCCACGGCUAACUACGUGCCAGCAGCCGCGGUAAUACGUAGGUGGCAAGCGUUAUCCGGAAUUAUUGGGCGUAAAGCGCGCGCAGGUGGUUUCUUAAGUCUGAUGUGAAAGCCCACGGCUCAACCGUGGAGGGUCAUUGGAAACUGGGAGACUUGAGUGCAGAAGAGGAAAGUGGAAUUCCAUGUGUAGCGGUGAAAUGCGUAGAGAUAUGGAGGAACACCAGUGGCGAAGGCGACUUUCUGGUCUGUAACUGACACUGAGGCGCGAAAGCGUGCGGAGCAAACAGGAUUAGAUACCCUGGUAGUCCACGCCCUAAACGAUGAGUGCCAACUGUUAUAGGGUGUCCGCCCGUUAUUGCUGAAG